This 27-nucleotide non-coding RNA is filed under the name Drosophila erecta. RNAcentral also lists the same sequence under 3 other names. Lineage: Eukaryota; Metazoa; Arthropoda; Insecta; Diptera; Drosophilidae. The record is from RNAcentral.
UGCUAAGUUCCGGGUCGUGGCCGACGA